RNAcentral lists this ribosomal RNA (406 nucleotides) under uncultured bacterium. RNAcentral describes it as "partial 16S ribosomal RNA". It matches the Rfam family "Bacterial small subunit ribosomal RNA", at positions 29 to 526 of the family's 1533-position model. The record is from RNAcentral.
AUUGAACGCUGGCGGCAGGCCUAACACAUGCAAGUCGAACGAGUGGCGGACGGGUGAGUAAUGUCUGGGAAACUGCCUGAUGGAGGGGGAUAACUACUGGAAACGGUAGCUAAUACCGCAUACAAUCCGAUGUGCCCAGAGGGGGUUAGAUAGUAGGUGGGGUAACGGCGCACAUAGGCGACGAUCCCUAGCUGGUCUGAGAGGAUGCACAUCCACACUGGAACUGAUACACGGUCCAGACUCCUACGGGAGGAAGCAGUGGGGAAUAUUGCACAAUGGGCGCAAGCCUGAUGCAGCCAUGCCGGGGGUGUGAAGAAGGCCUGCGGGGUGUAAAGCACUUUCAGCGGGGAGGCGUUACCCGCAGAAGAAGCACCGGCUAACUCCGUGCCAGCAGCCGCGGUAAUAC